RNAcentral lists this non-coding RNA (98 nucleotides) under unclassified sequences. RNAcentral's name for it is "PhotoRC-II RNA". It matches the Rfam family "PhotoRC-II RNA". The record is from RNAcentral.
UUUCGUUACAUACCCACGCCUUACCAGGACUAAACAGCGUGGUAAAACAACAGUCCUUCAUACCUACAUCGGAGGGUGAUGUAGGAAUAUUUUAUCUG